RNAcentral lists this ribosomal RNA (442 nucleotides) under uncultured bacterium. RNAcentral describes it as "bacterial SSU rRNA". It matches the Rfam family "Archaeal small subunit ribosomal RNA", at positions 895 to 1335 of the family's 1478-position model. The record is from RNAcentral.
CUGCGGUUUAAUUGGAUUCAACGCCGGAAAUCUUACCGGGUACCGACAGCAAUAUGAAGGCCAGGCUGAAGACUUUGCCGGAUUAGCUGAGAGGUGGUGCAUGGCCGUCGUCAGUUCGUACUGUGAAGCAUCCUGUUAAGUCAGGCAACGAGCGAGACCCACGCCCACAGUUGCCAGCGUACUCUCUGGAGUGACGGGUACACUGUGGGGACCGCCGCUGCUAAAGCGGAGGAAGGAAUGGGCAACGGUAGGUCAGUAUGCCCCGAAUAUCCCGGGCUACACGCGAGCUACAAUGGUUGGUACAAUGGGUAUCUACCCCGAAAGGGGACGGGAAUCUCCUAAAACCAAUCUUAGUUCGGAUUGAGGGCUGCAACUCGCCCUCAUGAAGCUGGAAUCCGUAGUAAUCGCGUUUCAACAGAACGCGGUGAAUACGUCCCUGCUC